RNAcentral lists this ribosomal RNA (305 nucleotides) under uncultured bacterium. Its description in RNAcentral is "bacterial SSU rRNA". It matches the Rfam family "Bacterial small subunit ribosomal RNA", at positions 338 to 660 of the family's 1533-position model. The record is from RNAcentral.
CCUACGGGACGCAGCAGUGAGGGAUAUUGGUCAAUGGGGGAAACCCCGAACCAGCAACGCCGCGUGAGGGAAGACGGUUUUCGGAUUGUAAACCUCUGUCCUCUGUGAAGAUAAUGACGGUAGCAGAGGAGGAAGCUCCGGCUAACUACGUGCCAGCAGCCGCGGUAAUACGUAGGGGGCAAGCGUUAUCCGGAUUUACUGGGUGUAAAGGGAGCGUAGACGGCUGGCCAAGUCUGAAGUGAAAGCCCGGGGCUUAACCCCGGAACGGCUUUGGAAACUGGCCGGCUGGAGUGCUGGAGAGGCAG